GCCGCGUGCAGGAAGACUGCCCUAUGGGUUGUAAACUGCUUUUACAGAGGAAGAACCACCCCCACGUGUGGGGGUUUGACGGUACUCUGCGAAUAAGGAUCGGCUAACUCCGUGCCAGCAGCCGCGGUAAUACGGAGGAUCCAAGCGUUAUCCGGAAUCAUUGGGUUUAAAGGGUCCGUAGGCGGGCAGUUAAGUCAGUGGUGAAAGUCUUCCGCUCAACGGGAGAACUGCCAUUGAUACUGAUUGUCUUGAGUUAUUAUGAAGUGGUUAGAAUGAGUAGUGUAGCGGUGAAAUGCAUAGAUAUUACUCAGAAUACCGAUUGCGAAGGCAGAUCACUAAUAAUAUACUGACGCUGAUGGACGAAAGCGUAGGUAGCGAACAGGAUUAGAUACCCUGGUAGUCUACGCCGUAAACGAUGGUUACUAGCUGUUCGGCCCAAUUGAGGGCUGAGUGGUUAAGCGAAAGUGAUAAGUAACCCACCUGGGGAGUACGUUCGCAAGAAUGAAACUCAAAGGAAUUGACGGGGGCCCGCACAAGCGGUGGAGCAUGUGGUUUAAUUCGAUGAUACGCGAGGAACCUUACCAGGGCUUAAAUGUAGUCUGACAGGUCUGGAAACAGACUUUUCUUCGGACAGAUUACAAGGUGCUGCAUGGUUGUCGUCAGCUCGUGCCGUGAGGUGUCAGGUUAAGUCCUAUAACGAGCGCAACCCCUGUGGUUAGUUGCCAGCGAGUAAUGUCGGGAACUCUAGCCAGACUGCCGGUGCAAACCGCGAGGAA
RNAcentral lists this ribosomal RNA (776 nucleotides) under Salegentibacter mishustinae. RNAcentral describes it as "bacterial SSU rRNA". It matches the Rfam family "Bacterial small subunit ribosomal RNA", at positions 396 to 1171 of the family's 1533-position model. The record is from RNAcentral. Lineage: Bacteria; Pseudomonadati; Bacteroidota; Flavobacteriia; Flavobacteriales; Flavobacteriaceae.